UACAGAGGUGGCAAGCGUUGUUCGGAAUUACUGGGCGUAAAGGGCGUGUAGGCGGCCUUUUAAGUCAGACGUGAAAUCCCCCGGCUUAACCUGGGAACUGCGUCUGAUACUGGAAGGCUAGAGUAUGGGAGAGGGAUGUAGAAUUCCAGGUGUAGCGGUGAAAUGCGUAGAUAUCUGGAGGAAUACCGGUGGCGAAGGCGGCAUCCUGGACCAUUACUGACGCUGAUACGCGAAAGCUAGGGGAGCAAACGGG
This 253-nucleotide ribosomal RNA is filed under the name uncultured bacterium. RNAcentral's name for it is "partial 16S ribosomal RNA". It matches the Rfam family "Bacterial small subunit ribosomal RNA", at positions 524 to 776 of the family's 1533-position model. The record is from RNAcentral.